This 650-nucleotide ribosomal RNA is filed under the name Ctenophora environmental sample. Its description in RNAcentral is "partial Bacterial large subunit ribosomal RNA". It matches the Rfam family "Bacterial large subunit ribosomal RNA", at positions 924 to 1677 of the family's 2925-position model. The record is from RNAcentral. Lineage: Eukaryota; Metazoa; Ctenophora.
GGGACUAUCAUCUUAGCAACAUCAGCCAAACUCCGAAUGCCGGUUAAGUGUUCUAUAGCAGUGAGACUGUGGGGGAUAAGCUUCAUAGUCGAGAGGGAAACAGCCCAGAUCGCCGGUUAAGGCCCCUAAGGGUGUACUAAGUGGAAAAGGAUGUGGGAUCGCGAAGACAGCCAGGAGGUUGGCUUAGAAGCAGCCAUCCUUUAAAGAAAGCGUAACAGCUCACUGGUCAAGCGCUCCUGCGCGGAAAAUGUAACGGGGCUUAAGUGAUACACCGAAGCUGUGGAUUCAAUCUUAUGAUUGAGUGGUAGCGGAGCGUUCCGUAGGCCGAUGAAGGUGGACCCGCGAGGGCCGCUGGAGGUAUCGGAAGUGAGAAUGCUGACAUGAGUAGCGACAAAGAGGGUGAGAGACCCUCUCGCCGAAAGUCCAAGGUUUCCUGCGCAAUGCUAAUCAGCGCAGGGUUAGUCGGCCCCUAACGCGAGGCAGAAAUGCGUAGUGGAUGGGAAGCAGGUUAAUAUUCCUGCACCUGACGGGUAGUGACGGAUUCUGGAAGUUGUCAGUCCUUAUCGGAUUGAAUUGGCAGCCAAGGAGUCCCUGGAAAUAGCUCCCGCAUUUGACCGUACCCCAAACCGACACAGGUGGACUGGUAGAGC